This 618-nucleotide long non-coding RNA is filed under the name Marmota monax (woodchuck). The record is from RNAcentral. Lineage: Eukaryota; Metazoa; Chordata; Mammalia; Rodentia; Sciuridae.
CAGAGCCACCUCUGGGUGAAGCUGUACUGAAGCUGUCUUCUUCAGCUCACACUCACAUACCAAACCAGCCCAUGCAGAAGCCCAGCUCCAGUCUUCUUCCCAUAGUUAACUUUCAGAAUCUUUUUGUAGAGCUGUAGAUCUGAGAUGAGAAGAGUGCUGGUGUAAUGGGGAUGCCAUGUGCUUGCAUCUUUUGUUCACCUCUUAGAAUUCCCACCUCACCACACUUACAAUGGCAGUUAAAUUUCAAUAUGAAUUUGGGAAUGGAUAAACCAUAGCACAUAUAAUUUUCUGCUGCAUAUGGCCACACUUUGCUCCAGAAUCUCAGGAGCUUAUAUUGUGAUUCUUUAACUGGGCUUAUCACAAACUCCACGUGGCUUCUCUUCCCAAUACUGAUACCUACAAAACUAAGCAUUGAACAUCAGUGUAAGAGGGUCUAUUUAUGCACUUUAUAUUCUGUUCCAUUGUUCUAUUUAUCUAUUUUGACACUAGAUUACUAAAGCUUUGUAAAUCUUGAAGUCAGAGUACGUUGAGUAAGAUUUCUAAUUUUGUUUUUUCAUUUUCAAAUUUGUUUUGGCAUAUGCUAAUUUUUCAGAGUAUUGCCAGUUGACAACUAUCUCC